UACGAGAGGCCCAAACGUUAUUCGGAUUUACUGGGCUUAAAGAGUUCGUAGGCGGCGCGGAAAGUAGGGUGUGAAAGCCCUCGGCUCAACCGGGGAAUUGCGCCCUAAACUGCCGUGCUAGAGGAACCUAGAGGUGAGCAGAACUGAUGGUGGAGCGGUGAAAUGCGUUGAUAUCAUCAGGAAUACCGGAGGCGAAGGCGGCUCACUGGGGGUUUUCUGACGCUGAGGAACGAAAGCCAGGGGAGCGAACGGG
RNAcentral lists this ribosomal RNA (253 nucleotides) under uncultured bacterium. RNAcentral describes it as "partial 16S ribosomal RNA". It matches the Rfam family "Bacterial small subunit ribosomal RNA", at positions 524 to 776 of the family's 1533-position model. The record is from RNAcentral.